Molecule: unclassified non-coding RNA, 402 nt
Filed under: soil metagenome
Description: partial contains 5.8S ribosomal RNA, internal transcribed spacer 2, and large subunit ribosomal RNA
Rfam family: 5.8S ribosomal RNA (bases 1-121)
Source: RNAcentral
GAUGAAGAACGUAGCGAAAUGCGAUAAGUAGUGUGAAUUGCAGAAUUCAGUGAAUCAUCGAAUCUUUGAACGCACCUUGCGCCCUUUGGCUAUUCUGAAGGGCAUGCCUGUUUGAGUAUCAUGAACACCUCAACUCUCAUGGUUCGCCAUGAUGAGCUUGGACUUUGGGGGUCUUGCUGGCCUACGGUCGGCUCCUCUCAAAUGAAUCAGCUUGCCAGUGUUUGGUAGAGUCGCAGGUGUGAUAACUAUCUACGCUUGUGGUUUUCUGCCAGAUAACCUUCAGUGAUGGAGGUUCGCUGGAGCUUAUAAAUGUCUCUCCCCAGUGAGGACAGCUUUUUGAACGUUUGAUCUCAAAUCAGGUAGGACUACCCGCUGAACUUAAGCAUAUCAAUAAGCGGAGGA